GCAGUAGUGGUUCGGUGGUAUAAUUCUUGCCUUCCAUGCAGGAGACCUAGGUUCAAUUCCCAGCCAGUGCA
This 71-nucleotide transfer RNA is filed under the name Loxodonta africana (African savanna elephant). It matches the Rfam family "tRNA". From Rfam's summary of the family: Transfer RNA (tRNA) molecules are approximately 80 nucleotides in length. Their secondary structure includes four short double-helical elements and three loops (D, anti-codon, and T loops). Further hydrogen bonds mediate the characteristic L-shaped molecular structure. tRNAs have two regions of fundamental functional importance: the anti-codon, which is responsible for specific mRNA codon recognition, and the 3' end, to which the tRNAs corresponding amino acid is attached (by aminoacyl-tRNA synthetases). tRNAs cope with the degeneracy of the genetic code in two manners: having more than one tRNA (with a specific anti-codon) for a particular amino acid; and 'wobble' base-pairing, i.e. permitting non-standard base-pairing at the 3rd anti-codon position. Lineage: Eukaryota; Metazoa; Chordata; Mammalia; Proboscidea; Elephantidae. The record is from Rfam by way of RNAcentral.